AGUGAACGCUGGCGGUAGGCCUAACACAUGCAAGUCGAACGGCAGCACAGUAAGAGCUUGCUCUUACGGGUGGCGAGUGGCGGACGGGUGAGGAAUACAUCGGAAUCUACUUUUUCGUGGGGGAUAACGUAGGGAAACUUACGCUAAUACCGCAUACGACCUACGGGUGAAAGCAGGGGAUCUUCGGACCUUGCGCGAUUGAAUGAGCCGAUGUCGGAUUAGCUAGUUGGCGGGGUAAAGGCCCACCAAGGCGACGAUCCGUAGCUGGUCUGAGAGGAUGAUCAGCCACACUGGAACGGAGACACGGUCCAGACUCCUACGGGAGGCAGCAGUGGGGAAUAUUGGACAAUGGGCGCAAGCCUGAUCCAGCCAUACCGCGUGGGUGAAGAAGGCCUUCGGUUUGUAAAGCCCUUUUGUUGGGAAAGAAAAGCAGCAGGUUAAUACCCCGCUGUUCUGACGGUACCCAAAGAAUAAGCACCGGCUAACUUCGUG
Molecule: ribosomal RNA, 492 nt
Filed under: uncultured bacterium
Lineage: Bacteria
Description: partial 16S ribosomal RNA
Rfam family: Bacterial small subunit ribosomal RNA
Source: RNAcentral